GGGCAAUUAGCUCAAUGGCAGAGCGUCUCGUUUACACCGAGAAGGCCGCAGGUCCGAUUCCUGCAUUGCCCA
This 72-nucleotide transfer RNA is filed under the name Patescibacteria group bacterium. Its description in RNAcentral is "tRNA-Val". It matches the Rfam family "tRNA". From Rfam's summary of the family: Transfer RNA (tRNA) molecules are approximately 80 nucleotides in length. The record is from RNAcentral.